CUUUCCCAUUUUCUUCAGAAUUAUACUGAUGAGAAAUGGUCAAUGUAAGCACACAGCUAAGUGCUAAGAUGGAGGCCCCUCCGUAUGGUGAAUCCAGCUUCCACUAUUAACGUUGGAAGCCAAAUGGGAAGAUCACAAAUGGCGACCACAGGGCCAGUGGGAUCAGUGAUGGGAUUCAAAAAAUUUUACUACCGGUUUUGUGGGCUUGGCUUGCUCCGUUCUCCUAUGCAGGGCAACAAAAGAAGACCCAGCCAAUCAGUUGGGACUUGGGAGGCAGAGAAUAAGUGGUAUUCCGAACUACUCAAAAUUUCCAUUUCCAGUUCUCCAAAUUACUCAAAAUUUCUGCUAUCGGUUCUCCAGAACUGGCCAGAACCUGCUGAAUACCGCCUUUGCAUAGGAUGCUGCAACAUUGAAAA
RNAcentral lists this long non-coding RNA (416 nucleotides) under Laticauda laticaudata (blue-ringed sea krait). Its description in RNAcentral is "lncRNA (ENSLLTG00000010065.1)". The record is from RNAcentral. Lineage: Eukaryota; Metazoa; Chordata; Lepidosauria; Squamata; Elapidae.